CCCGCACCGAACACAACCCAAUCCCCUCGUCCCGCACACCGUGUACACUCCGGUCCCCUCAUCCCGCACGAACCCUAGGAGAGAGAGAGAUAGGAAGAUGAGAGGGAGAGAAAGGGGAGAGGAGAGGAGAGGGAGGUCCGGCAGUGUUUGCCUCCCGGACCAGCCGCCGUGGGUUUCCACGGGGAAGGAGCAGCGACGGGGGUAGGCCCCAGGUGGAGCACACUUCAUGGGGAGGCAAGGAACUAGGAGGUGAUGGGGUCGGAUCUGGUGGUGCUAGGUCGGAGCGCCUCCUCUCCUCUCCCCAGCCGCCACCGGCCACCUCCCAGCCCUCCUCCUCCGCCUCGUCGCCUCGCCACCUUGAGCUUGCAGCGAGCGCUCUGCUCUGGCGGCGGCGGUGGCCUCUUGUGGCGGAGCAGGAGGGGGCCUCUUGUGGCGGAGCAGGAGGGGGAAGACGGUGGCAGCGCGCCCUCUGGUGGCGGAGGAGGAGGAGGAGGGAGAUGGUGGCGGCUGCGCUUGUUCAGGGGCUCGCUCAAGGUGCUCGAGCCCGACAUCCAGCACGCCAACAACCUCGCCGCCCCGUGCCUCUUCCUCUUCCUCCUGCAGCGGACCGACUGCAGCCUCGCCGGCGCCCUCGGCCUCCUCAGGAUCCCCAUCUACAAGGCUACUCCCCCAAUGGUGAAAAUCCCCUACAGAAUGGUGCUGGAUGUCCUUUUAGAAUCUUUGGGCCUGCCAGCGGCUGAGUAUCGAACCAAAGCAUGCGAGGGUGGUUUGAAGUGUUCGCUCAAUUCAUGUGCUUGGGAUUUGUUUCGAUUGAUGGACCUCAAAGCUGAUGCAAUAAUGCAUGAACUUGCCAAAAGGAGGUUUAGCAGGUCUGACUUAUGGUCUAAGUUGAUGGUGUUUAGCAAUAUUGGUUCGAUCCAUGCAGAGGUCCUCGCCGUCGUUGCAGUGGCGGGACAAGACGGCGAGGAGCCUCCUCCUCCUCGCGGCGGCUGGCUGUUAAAUCUUUCGUUUUGUUUUCAUUUUGCCAAAGGUUGGACUGGUAUUUGUUUGGUUUCAUGAUGGAAUAAUAUUGCGAGUCAAAUGUGACAUGCAUGAUUGUUUAGCAUUGGAACCAAAUUUCAUGGGGUGAUUGGAUAAAGUUCUGUACUGAUAGUCCGAAACUUUGUGGUCGCCCAGGCUAUGCAGCCUUUAAUCAUAUUUAACAUCGUCAUGGUCUCUGGACAAACAAGCUUGAGGAGGCCAUUGUUUGGUGCAGCCCACGAUGACAACUACACCAUUGACCACUGAAGCAAGGUCCUUAUAUGGUCACUGAAGAAACGCGUUGUCAUAUUUUUUCCGACGGAAUGGCACUUUUCUUGAAUCUAUGCCAGUGUCUAUUGUAAUUUAAUAUCAUCCCUAGGACAAACAUGAUUCUUUGUUGCCGUUCUUUAUCUCUAUUGUUGAAUCCAAAUUACUAAUGUGACAUGAUAACAUAUAUGAUGCGGUGGACAGUAUUGCUAAGAAGUGCACGGACACAGUGCUUUAUCA
This is an RNA transcript of Triticum dicoccoides, 1527 nucleotides long. RefSeq lists it as uncharacterized. NCBI's taxonomy places the organism in Eukaryota, Viridiplantae, Streptophyta, Magnoliopsida, Poales, Poaceae. The transcript is spliced from 7 exons. The record is from RefSeq and is a predicted model, not a curated record.